RNAcentral lists this small RNA (27 nucleotides) under Bombyx mori (domestic silkworm). RNAcentral's name for it is "ovarian small RNA-20257". The record is from RNAcentral. Lineage: Eukaryota; Metazoa; Arthropoda; Insecta; Lepidoptera; Bombycidae.
UACAGAUAAAAUUGCCGCGAAUAGUAA